CAUCCCCAAAACCCAUUUCUGACUUCUCCUUUUCAUUUGUAGAGAGAGAAAAAGUUAACCUGAUUUCCCUCAGACGUUUCACUACUCUGUGAAACCCUACCCUUCAGAUCUUGAAUCCCCCUAAUCUCCUUUUCUUCAAUCAUCGCCACCCAAAAGUUGCUACUAAAGAUCGUAUGUAUGGUUAUGUGUAUUCACCAACACACCAACCUCUGCUCAGUGUAGGAUUAUCAUGUUCAAAGGCAAGAAUUAUUGUCGCGAUGUUUGUGGAACCAACAUUUAACAAGUUGUGCGGCUUUAAUUGGGACCGGAUUCGAACUUGAGACCUCUGACUUGAAACCCAAAUCUUCAUUUCCUGUGGAACGCCAAUUAAGCUAUAGCUCAUUGGCUGAUAAUUAACUUUCUCAUGAUGGAAAAUUAGAGUCCUCUAUCAAUGGAAAGUAAGUAUUUGAACAUGUUUAUCUAUACUAUAUAUAAUAAGCAUAUAGGAAGUACUACUUAAUGUAAUUGAAAUUUCCUUAAAACACUCUUAAUGCACAAUGUACAACCCUCUAAAGCACAAUAUAAUUUACAAUCACAAUUAUACCCUCACUCACACAAUAUGUUUGGGCGGCCAAUUUUUCAAUUCAAUUUUUGAAUUCCCGCUUACCCCAAAUCCCCAUACACGAUACACCCACAACUGUUGUUUCCUUAUCAUUUGCAGAGAGAGAGAGAGAGAGAGAGAGAGAGAGGGAGAAGUGAGAAGUGAGAGCUCAUCCCUAAUCCCUGAUGUAGUUUCUCCGUCGCCCCUUCUCCACUGAUGACACAACCAGCGACCGUCUAAACCAUCUCCUCCUCUUAAAGAGCUCAUCAUCUUGGUUUGUUGUUUAGGGACAAAAUCAUGGCUGGUUAUCCUUAACCUACCCCCUGUGGAUGCAAAAAGUCAAAACCGUGUUGAGCGGAAAAAGCCCUAACUGCCUUUUACCGCCCGAAAGUUAGCGGUAAUCAAACAUCCAUGAAUCUUCUUUACGCCGCCACCGGAGAACUUUCUCGAAGAAAAAUGGUUGAAGAAGCUUGUGACGGUGACGAUGGUUUACAGGGCACCGUGAAUCUACCAAACAAAAGUUAUUUAUGGUUCAUCGGCUAACGACCGAGACACCGAUGACGGCUGAGGAUGGUGAUUGUUAAGGCAUCUCUGUUAAGGCUUUGUGUUGAUUCGAGCAGCUUCACAGAUAUUUCAUUGAUUGAGAUGCGGGAACAUAUAAAGAAACGUCCACCAUUAGCAUUAGCAACGACUGAAAAUUUUCCACAAUGGUAAUUUGAUCGAAUUUAAAGAAGCAAAGGAAGUUGGUUCGUCAAAUUAGAUUGGUAAGCCAAUUUUUAUUGAAUUCUGAGUUUAUUGAACCAAGCCGAUUUAACUGUUUACCAGACAGAAAAACAAUAGAAAGAUAAGGUUCCCUGUUAAAGAGAAAGUCAAAGAGAAACUUGGAUUGCACAAGGACGCCAUAAUUGGUGGGUCAACAUCGGCUAUUAAAGACGCCAUGGCUGCUCUUAACCAAGGAUUUAUGAAGCUUGGACAGGUGCUAUAGGCGUAGAUCCUACUCAUGAUGAUGCACCGGGGACUCAGUUUCAAAUUAUAGUCCCUAGACAAGCAAGGCACAUGUGUAUUCUAGGCAGUUUCAGACCUAUUUUAGUUGUUACAAACCGUUCUAGCAGAUUUUUAAACUGGUUACCCAGUUUUUUUCCGAUUGAGUGCGCUGAUUGAGUGCGCUGUGCUGCAUUCAAGGCGGUUUGGCUAGGCCUCGCCUCAAAGUUGUAACUGUUUAGAUUAUGUUUUACUUAGGCGUUUAAAAGCAUGGUCUGUAUAUGAAGAGCAUGAAUAUGUUUUUUGGGGGAAUGAUGUAUAAAAUUUACAA
Long non-coding RNA from Helianthus annuus (common sunflower), 1892 nucleotides. RefSeq lists it as uncharacterized. The record is from RefSeq and is a predicted model, not a curated record. The transcript is spliced from 7 exons. NCBI's taxonomy places the organism in Eukaryota, Viridiplantae, Streptophyta, Magnoliopsida, Asterales, Asteraceae.